Molecule: ribosomal RNA, 497 nt
Filed under: uncultured bacterium
Lineage: Bacteria
Description: partial 16S ribosomal RNA
Rfam family: Bacterial small subunit ribosomal RNA
Source: RNAcentral
GAUGAACGCUGGCGGCGUGCCUAAUACAUGCAAGUCGAGCGAACAGAUAAGGAGCUUGCUCCUUUGACGUUAGCGGCGGACGGGUGAGUAACACGUGGGUAACCUACCUAUAAGACUGGAAUAACUCCGGGAAACCGGGGCUAAUGCCGGAUAACAUUUAGAACCGCAUGGUUCUAAAGUGAAAGAUGGUUUUACUAUCACUUAUAGAUGGACCCGCGCCGUAUUAGCUAGUUGGUAAGGUAACGGCUUACCAAGGCAACGAUACGUAGCCGACCUGAGAGGGUGAUCGGCCACACUGGAACUGAGACACGGUCCAGACUCCUACGGGAGGCCGCAGUAGGGAAUCUUCCGCAAUGGGCGAAAGCCUGACGGAGCAACGCCGCGUGAGUGAUGAAGGUCUUCGGAUCGUAAAACUCUGUUAUUAGGGAAGAACAAAUGUGUAAGUAACUGUGCACGUCUUGACGGUACCUAAUCAGAAAGCCACGGCUAACUACGUG